UUCUGUCCAUCACAGAGAAGCACUCAGAGA
RNAcentral lists this non-coding RNA (30 nucleotides) under Homo sapiens (human). The record is from RNAcentral. Lineage: Eukaryota; Metazoa; Chordata; Mammalia; Primates; Hominidae.